GGUGGGAUGAACUCAGCGCCCCCUGCACACCCGGUGUCCACCUGUCGUGCAGCUGAGUCAGAACCAUCCAGAUAGAUGAGGGAAGAGAAAGAAACCCCAGCACCCCACGUUGUGAAACCAGCACCCAGAUUUCUGUCUGUAAAAACCCUGCUGAUCUCCCCGGGCAGGAUGCAGAGCCAUGGUUGCCAGGCGCUGGGCAAAGGCGGAAGUGAGCAGUCGAUGCUCACCCGGGACCCCGGGUUUCCUUGUGGGGUGAUGAGAGCAUUCUAAAAUUACUGUGCUGGUGACUCACGACCCGAGCGCGCACUGAAUGCAGCUGAAGUGUGAGUCGUACAGCAUGUGAACUCUGUCGUUCUGUUGGCUUGGUUUGGGCUUUUGGUUUGGGCAUUCUGACUAAGCAGCCCCCAGGCUGGUCUCGAACCCUCCGGUGCUGGAACGCAGACAUCACAGGUGCGCUUGGGGCUGCAAGAACCGAUGUAUGAAGCUGGAAAUGUUAUGUCUCUGAGAUUAGCAAUCAGUGGUUUCAGUGGAGUUUUCAAUAGGAGAGGUCCCUGAUUUGAGGAUGUAACUGCAGAAGACAAUCGUGACAGUUCAGAGGAGUGGAAAGGAACGCUGGCCUUGGAGGAAGUGGUCAAUGGUGCUGAACAGGAAGUGUUGUAGAGUUCAAAAGAUUAGGGGCCUAAGAGGAGACAGUUCCAGGAACUGACUUGGUGAAGAACCCCUGGCCACUAAGACAGAGCUUUCUUUUAAGCGCCCCACACGGUUUUGCAUCGUUGGUCACCUUGGAAAGAGCUUCUGUUUUCCCCAGUGCCGCCUUUGUUCCACAUUUGGAGCCCAGAACGGGGAAGUGGAAUGAUAUGGAACAUGGAAAUGCAAGUCUAUCACCAGGGCCGUACGAGUCAUUUGGAACAAAAGCAUUUUUAUUUGCCUAGUGCUCAGAAAGUCACGCCAAGAGAUCCAGGGAGGAACUUUGGGUCUCUCUUCCUCCAAAUCACUUCCUCACUCUUAUUCUCUCUCAGGUGGCCAAGACAUGGCAGUCUUGACUGCUAACAAAAUGCCAUUGUGACAUCUCAAUGGCAUGAUUCACGGCGUCUCGGAUGGUUUUUAUUGGGUACUUUCCACAUAUUUCAGGGUACAGCCUUGGCGUCUAUCAGCUGAUUGACUUGGCACAGGAACUCCAUGGGGUGGGAUUUACUGUCCACAGUUAAGGGACUGUGUGUGGCUCACACACAGUCAGCAAUGCCGUAGAGCAGCUCUUGAUUUUAACUGACCCAACUUACACGAUUUGGUAAUUUUAGACUUUGUCCUGAGCCUUGGAAAAUAAGUUCAGUUUUUGUCUCUGGAGUUAGGAAGAAGGCGAAGAGCUAAUAUAAACCCAAGGCAGAUGGACGAAAACUCUUUAGGAUUGUGUGGGUGACUGGGAGCUCUCUGGCUUCUCUGAAGUAUCUGUCUACUGACUGGGGUUUUAGUUGAGGGUUCCUGCUAGAAAACACCAUGAUCGAAAUCAACUUGGGGAGGCUUACACUUCCAUAUCACAGCUCAUCACCAUAGACCAUCAGGGCAGGAACUCAACGCAGGAACCUGGAGGCAGGAGCUGAAACAGAGGCCACGCAGGAGUGAUGCUCACCGGCUUCCUCCUCCAGGCUUGCUCAGCCUGCUUUCUUAUACAGCUUAGGACCAUCUGCCCAGGGCUUGCACCACCUGUACUGGGCUGAGCCUGCCCACAUCUGCCAUUAAUCAAGAAAAAUGCUCUACAGCUAUUUUCUUAAUCGAGUGUUCCUCUUCCCAAAUAGCUUGUGUCAGGUUAGCAUGAAACUAAUCAAGACAGUAGGUGAGGCUAAUCACAUCCCAGAGGUCUCACCUCUCAUCAUUGCUACAAUGGCAAUUAGAUUUCAACGUGAAUUUGCGCAGGGGGGGGGGAAGACAUCAAACCAUAGGAUAACUGAAUGUAUGCUUAGGUACCUGGCUGAAUAUUUCCUCCAAAUAAUCUUGUCUGUCCAUAGGGAUAAACAAGUAUGGUCACUCCAAAGGGACCAGAUCCCCAUUUCGGCAGCCAUAACAGCCUAACACGUGCUUGCCUGACCUUGUCUUGGUUACUAGGAGGUCAGAUACCCACCUCGUGGCAAGGAACCAAUCAGAAGUUAGCUGGUGGUGCUAUGCUUUACAGCUCUGGGUGUGCUUUACAGACAAGUGCACAGCAAUGACAUGCAGAGCAUAGCAACCACCCUGGGAGGGACCAUAACAACCAGUUGACCAAUCAACACAGGGCAAGCCUGGAGGCACACCAAUCCUGAGCCUGUGUGUACCCCUAGAUAAUCCCCUUACGCUGCCCUACAAGAUCUCUGUCCUGUGGUUUCUCGGGGUCUUUCCCCAGCCAUCCACCCUGGUGGAAGGAUGAAAGGCCUGAGCUAAUGGGGUUAGCUCAUUAAACAACUGCAAUAAAAGACUCAUUGCUUUUGCA
This 2461-nucleotide long non-coding RNA is filed under the name Cricetulus griseus (Chinese hamster). RNAcentral's name for it is "lncRNA (ENSCGRG00015037619.1)". Lineage: Eukaryota; Metazoa; Chordata; Mammalia; Rodentia; Cricetidae. The record is from RNAcentral.